GGGGGCGUAGCUCAGCUGGUAGAGCACCUGGUUUGCAACCAGGGGGUCAUGGGUUCGAGUCCCUUCGCCUCCACCA
RNAcentral lists this transfer RNA (76 nucleotides) under Rohdeia mirabilis. Its description in RNAcentral is "Planctomycetes bacterium Pla163 tRNA-Ala". It matches the Rfam family "tRNA". Rfam says of the family: Transfer RNA (tRNA) molecules are approximately 80 nucleotides in length. Their secondary structure includes four short double-helical elements and three loops (D, anti-codon, and T loops). Further hydrogen bonds mediate the characteristic L-shaped molecular structure. tRNAs have two regions of fundamental functional importance: the anti-codon, which is responsible for specific mRNA codon recognition, and the 3' end, to which the tRNAs corresponding amino acid is attached (by aminoacyl-tRNA synthetases). tRNAs cope with the degeneracy of the genetic code in two manners: having more than one tRNA (with a specific anti-codon) for a particular amino acid; and 'wobble' base-pairing, i.e. permitting non-standard base-pairing at the 3rd anti-codon position. Lineage: Bacteria; Pseudomonadati; Planctomycetota; Planctomycetia. The record is from RNAcentral.